RNAcentral lists this unclassified non-coding RNA (310 nucleotides) under Hevea brasiliensis (rubber tree). Lineage: Eukaryota; Viridiplantae; Streptophyta; Magnoliopsida; Malpighiales; Euphorbiaceae. The record is from RNAcentral.
GGCCGCGGGGUGGUGGGGUGUGGUGGGUGUUUACUCCAAUAGGGAGCUUCAGUCACGAAUGCCCCUGAAGAAAAAUUUCUGAUUCACAAGUGGAUGCCACAGCCGAAGAAAUAAUAUUGCUGAAAUGCAUACUUGUCAUCAUUUUCAUACCAUCAACCUAGUUGAAGCUCCCUGGUCUUCAACAGGAUGAACAAUUCAACAGGAACAAGAAACGUGCAACGCAAGUACUCACAAUUUUUGGCAUCAUAAACCGAUCAAUUGAAAAGAAAAUGGCUUGGUAUACUCACUGCUGAGUGCCAUGAUUUUGGAC